Molecule: small nucleolar RNA, 107 nt
Organism: Medicago truncatula (barrel medic)
Lineage: Eukaryota; Viridiplantae; Streptophyta; Magnoliopsida; Fabales; Fabaceae
Rfam family: Plant small nucleolar RNA R71
About the family: R71 is a member of the C/D box family of snoRNAs containing the C (UGAUGA) and D (CUGA) box motifs.
Source: Rfam
AAUUUAUGAUCUGGACACCUUUUUAGUGAUAUUUUGAAUCUCUCCCAAGCAUCGUACAAUGUUUCCCUUUCUUGUUGUUUGAAACAUGCAAUCUCUUUUUUUAGAGC